This 679-nucleotide long non-coding RNA is filed under the name Gossypium barbadense (sea-island cotton). RNAcentral's name for it is "long non-coding RNA (GBAR_LNC004711)". The record is from RNAcentral. Lineage: Eukaryota; Viridiplantae; Streptophyta; Magnoliopsida; Malvales; Malvaceae.
AAAAUUUAAAAACAUUUUUUAGUAUACUUUAAAACUUUAUUAAAUAAUAUAUAUAAGUCAUAAAAUAAAACUUAUUCCGUCAAAAAUAAAAAUUAAACAUCAAAACCCAAAAUUAAAAUGAAAAUUUGAAACCAAAUUAAAUUAUCACAACUAAUUCAAAAAAAAUUCAGAUAUCCUAAUUUAAUUCAACUAAAUUUAACUUUAUAUCUCUUUUUUUAUUUUGUAUUUAAAUGUUAUAUUUAAAAAUAUAAAAUUUAAAUUAGCAUCGUAAAUAUGAAAUAGGGUUAAUUUAUUAAAUAGGGUUCAUUUAAUCAAUUUGAAUUAAUCCAAUUUAAAGAACAAGUGACGAAACCUAUUUACGUGAAGUUUUGGUUGCCCAAUGAAGCACUUAUGGAAAAUUAAGGCUACUUUAGUAAAUAGAAAAAUCAAUCUUAGAAAAUUUGUAAUUGUAGAUAUGCUUCGAUCUCGUUUGUCGAUAUAAAGCUAGUUGUACAGUUAGAUUUGAGGGAACUUAACUAUAAAUAAAGAGCCACCUCUUAUUUGCAAUCAUCCAUUGUAUCCUAUUUUUUGAGUUAAAGAAUAUAUUGAGAAUAUUUACUCAAACACUUAGUGUGUUGUGCUUUUUUGUGGCUAUUCUGUUAUUUCGAACUUUCUUUUGAUUUUGAGUUUUGUUUAUUUU